Molecule: regulatory RNA element, 46 nt
Organism: Anaerofustis stercorihominis DSM 17244
Lineage: Bacteria; Bacillati; Bacillota; Clostridia; Eubacteriales; Eubacteriaceae
Rfam family: uup RNA
Source: Rfam
GAAAACUCGGCUCUGUGCAAAUGAAACGAUGAACGUUGUGCAGAGC